CAGAGGAAGAGGGCGGGCUUUACUUGGUGUCAGUGAGAGAAAUGAAAAAAAGCUCAAAUGAGUGAGAAGGACGAUGAAGGAAACAUCUGUGCUGUGUCUGCUCUUUCUGAUCUCACUGCUGAGCUGCACAACAAACCAAGCUCGUCUGACUGUGAGUCCCAGCAGCUCUCAGUUCUUUGAAGGAGACUUUGUGUCUCUGAGCUGUGAGGAGGACGACAGCUCUGCUGGAUGGACUCUGAGGAGAAACACAAGCAAAGGACAGAGGACUCAGUGUGGAGAUGG
Molecule: long non-coding RNA, 282 nt
Organism: Pelmatolapia mariae (spotted tilapia)
Lineage: Eukaryota; Metazoa; Chordata; Actinopteri; Cichliformes; Cichlidae
Exons: 3
Source: RefSeq, a predicted model, not a curated record